CGACGGCUCAACCGUCGACGCGCUUCGGAAACUGGGGGACUUGAGGGCAGGAGAGGCGAGCGGAAUUCCCGGUGUAGCGGUGAAAUGCGUAGAGAUCGGGAAGAACACCAGUGGCGAAGGCGGCUCGCUGGACUGGCCCUGACGCUGACGCGCGAAAGCGUGGGGAGCGAACGGGAUUAGAUACCCCGGUAGUCCACGCCGUAAACGAUGGGCACUAGGUGUGGGAGGUAUCGACCCCUCCCGUGCCGGAGUUAACACACUAAGUGCCCCGCCUGGGGAGUACGGCCGCAAGGAUGAAACUCAAAGGAAUUGACGGGGGCCCGCACAAGCAGUGGAGCAUGUGGUUUAAUUCGACGCAACGCGAAGAACCUUACCCGGGCUUGACAUCCCCGGAACACCCGAGAGAUCGGGUGGCUCUACGGAGCCGGGAGACAGGUGCUGCAUGGUUGUCGUCAGCUCGUGUCGUGAGAUGUUGGGUUAAGUCCCGCAACGAGCGCAACCCUUGUCCCGUGUUACCAGCGUAAAGGCGGGGACUCACGGGAGACUGCCGGUGACAAACCGGAGGAAGGUGGGGAUGACGUCAAAUCAUCAUGGCCCUUAUGUCCGGGGCUACACACGUGCUACAAUGGCCGGCACAGCGGGAUGCGAAGGGGCGACCCGGAGCGAACCCUGAAAGCCGGUCCCAGUUCGGAUCGCAGGCUGAAACCCGCCUGCGUG
RNAcentral lists this ribosomal RNA (717 nucleotides) under uncultured Bacillota bacterium. RNAcentral describes it as "bacterial SSU rRNA". It matches the Rfam family "Bacterial small subunit ribosomal RNA", at positions 602 to 1322 of the family's 1533-position model. The record is from RNAcentral. Lineage: Bacteria; Bacillati; Bacillota.